AACACGUUCACCGGGGAUGAACAACUUUUGUCACGUGACCGCAAAAGUCAACGCCGGUUGCAGAAACAGAUUGUAAUCUUGUACAUUAAGAAACAUGACGCUCGUGUGUGAAAUCUGUGGAAAGACAUUUAAAUCGAAGUGGGGGUUAAAGCUUCAUGAUAAGCGCCACAGAGGGACUGGACGAUUCGCCUGUUGUGGAAAAACAUUUUACACAAAACAGGCGUUCAACAGACACAGAUGCAGCAUUCAUGGUGUUGAAAAGCCGUUCCCCUGUGAACAAUGCGGCAAAAAGUUUUCAACCAAAGAUGACCUGAAUCGUCACGUCCGGAGGGAGGUUGCUGCAAAGCAAUUUACCUGCUCAAUUUGCAAUGCAACGCUCCGGGAGAAAAUUGACCUUCAGGCCCACCUUGCCACCCACAAUGGAGAGAAAAACUUUGCUUGUGAUAUGUGUGAAAAGAGGUACCGGCACCGCAGUAGUCUAUCAAAGCACAGAUCUGCAAAGCACCGGGCCUAGUCAUCUGUUGCAUGACGAUGAUAAGACCAAGAAUUAUUUUUAAUUCUUACCAAUGUGCCGUGGUUAUUUUCUUAAUUAUUGAAAAUACAGACUGUCAUACAAUAAUAUAUAGUAUUACGCGUGUUUUUGCGUCUUAAACAUUGUGUUUCAUAUCGUUUAUCUUGUGUUGUUUUGUUUGAUAUUCCUGUUUUUAAUAAGAUUAUUGUUGUAAUAUUUAUCAUUCUAAUUUAAAAUGAUUAUGAUAAUGGUUGAUCUCAUACAAAUUAUUGUGUUCAUUAUUGCUCAUCU
This is a long non-coding RNA of Dreissena polymorpha, 802 nucleotides long. RefSeq lists it as uncharacterized. The record is from RefSeq and is a predicted model, not a curated record. The transcript is spliced from 3 exons. NCBI's taxonomy places the organism in Eukaryota, Metazoa, Mollusca, Bivalvia, Myida, Dreissenidae.